AGUAAAUUUGUAUUGGGAGUGGCAUUAAACAGCUUCGAGCCUCUUUUCAGAAGAAUUGUUGACUAUGGAGCAUAUUUUCUUCCUGUGUGCUUGAGUCAGAAAAGAAGAAAUGUUUAAAAAACGAUUGAAGACUUUUCUGUGAUAAAGGGCUUUAUCAAUAAAUUUGACUUGGCUUUUUGGCUGUGCAGAUUCUUCCAUUGACUUAAACCUUCAAGCGCCAAUGUAUGAAACUUGCAACAAACAUUUGCAGUAUGCCUUUAUCUAUAACCAUUUCCAUGCUACAAUUUUUGGAAAUACCUUUACUGGCUGU
Long non-coding RNA from Hippocampus comes (tiger tail seahorse), 310 nucleotides. RefSeq lists it as uncharacterized. The record is from RefSeq and is a predicted model, not a curated record. Lineage: Eukaryota; Metazoa; Chordata; Actinopteri; Syngnathiformes; Syngnathidae. The transcript has 3 exons.